AGCGCGCGUAGGCGGUUUUUUAAGUCUGAUGUGAAAGCCCACGGCUCAACCGUGGAGGGUCAUUGGAAACUGAAAAACUUGAGUGCAGAAGAGGAAAGGGGAAUUCCAUGUGUAGCGGUGAAAUGCGCAGAGAUAGGGAGGAACACCAGUGGCGAAGGCGACUUUCUGGUCUGUAACUGACGCUGAUGUGCGAAAGCGUGGGGAUCAAACAGGAUUAGAUACCCUGGUAGUCCA
RNAcentral lists this ribosomal RNA (234 nucleotides) under Staphylococcus epidermidis APO27. Its description in RNAcentral is "partial 16S ribosomal RNA". It matches the Rfam family "Bacterial small subunit ribosomal RNA", at positions 564 to 797 of the family's 1533-position model. The record is from RNAcentral. Lineage: Bacteria; Bacillati; Bacillota; Bacilli; Caryophanales; Staphylococcaceae.